Molecule: transfer RNA, 68 nt
Filed under: Chloebia gouldiae (Gouldian finch)
Lineage: Eukaryota; Metazoa; Chordata; Aves; Passeriformes; Passeridae
Description: Erythrura gouldiae (Gouldian finch) tRNA-Phe
Source: RNAcentral
GUCUUCGUAGCUUACAAAAAGCAUAACACUGAAGAUGUUAAGACGGCCGCUACACGCGCCCGAAGACA